AACAACAACGGAAAAAAAAAAGAGAGAAUAAAAAGGGACGGAGAGAAGGGUGGUUCGAUAUUCAAGUAUUGUUUUUCUUUUACUUCGUUAUUCUCCGUUUAUUUUCAC
Molecule: non-coding RNA, 108 nt
Filed under: Palpitomonas bilix
Lineage: Eukaryota
Source: RNAcentral